AUGUUGAGCCCCUGUUCUUCUCAAAUCGUACCCAGUCAUUUUUUCGAGAAAACGCAAAAAGCCUUUGCGUUUCAUUUCAUUGAAAAGAUGGAUGGCCUCCUAGGAGGUGUGUCGUUACAUGUUUUUGUAAUUGGUCAGUGUACAUCCCAGGUUGUGGGCAGGACAACCCGAAGCCCCUGGGCGCCUGCCUUUGCCCAACAUCGGGCCUCCUCUUUGAUCCUAUCCACUAGUGUUGCGAUGGAUGGUGUAGCAUUGUCGAAGACGCAUGCAUUCCGGUGCGUCCAUAUCAUCGAGGGGACGAGCAAAGUGAUAGACUUGAGGGCUUUGCGCUGCGCCGGUGGUGUUCCCUCCCUUGCGCGCCGCCACCACUCCAUGACGCUGGGCUCUUGA
This 390-nucleotide ribosomal RNA is filed under the name Triticum aestivum (bread wheat). RNAcentral's name for it is "partial small subunit ribosomal RNA". Lineage: Eukaryota; Viridiplantae; Streptophyta; Magnoliopsida; Poales; Poaceae. The record is from RNAcentral.